Molecule: long non-coding RNA, 125 nt
Organism: Etheostoma cragini (Arkansas darter)
Lineage: Eukaryota; Metazoa; Chordata; Actinopteri; Perciformes; Percidae
Exons: 3
Source: RefSeq, a predicted model, not a curated record
UGAUGAUUAGGGUUGGGCAUCGUUUUGAUUUCAACAAUUUGGAUUCUUCCUUUCGAUUCUGGUUCUUAUUGAUUCUCGAUUCAGAAUUUUUUGGAUUGGUGGAGUUGAAACUAGUCACAUGCUUA